This is a long non-coding RNA of Drosophila yakuba, 475 nucleotides long. RefSeq lists it as uncharacterized. The transcript is spliced from 3 exons. The record is from RefSeq and is a predicted model, not a curated record. Lineage: Eukaryota; Metazoa; Arthropoda; Insecta; Diptera; Drosophilidae.
GAUCCUUUAGAUACAGUCGAGGUAGUCCAUCAAUUAUAAAAUGCUAGAGCAAAACAUUAUUAAACACAGUCAGUCAUCACGAAGUGCACCAAUAUUUUUGGUGCCUAAGGAAAGCGAUGGUGUAGUCGAGAUGGCUUACAAUCCGAUCUAGAAAUUCAAGCUUCAAAAAUGGUGCCUUACUAAACUGUAAGCUAAUUAUUUUUCCACAUACGGUCUUGGUGCACUUUUGAAUCCAAUGUUUUAAUUUCCCGAUCUUGUUUCGUUCAUAUUAAAAACAAAAACCAGAGAUUACCAGUUUUGAAUGCGCAAUAUGAAGUUUACUUGAAUCACAUUUAAUCGACUAGACAAGAGUAGAACAAUGUUUGUAGCAGUCUUUAUUUGUAGUCUUAUUUGUGGUGAAGUUUAUUUUUCCGAUUUAGUUUGUCUGUUCUAAGGAGAUUAACUAGAAAUUCAUUUCACUUAUUUUAAAUCACGA